RNAcentral lists this ribosomal RNA (402 nucleotides) under Triticum aestivum (bread wheat). Its description in RNAcentral is "partial small subunit ribosomal RNA". The record is from RNAcentral. Lineage: Eukaryota; Viridiplantae; Streptophyta; Magnoliopsida; Poales; Poaceae.
AUGGCAAAAGCACAGGUUGUUGCCUCAGGAAGAAAAGAACAAAAGCAUCUCAAUGGUUUGGCACAGGGACCAGUAAUAAUGUACCUCGACUGCCUGCUGCUGCCAACCGACACAAAAGAAAUGCGCAAGAUUUCCAAGACAAUGGACAAGACAUCAUUACCGCGAGCAAACCACCUAAAAGAGAGUGACCUAAAGAAAAUAGCUAGAGCAGACAUGAAAAGGGACGGAAAAGCACGACCAGAUGACUAUGAAUUUGGCAAGAUAAAGACAUGGAAAGGAACAGCAGAGAGGAUCUUCUAUGCCAGCACAGCAACACCUUCAUAUUCAAUACAGAUGAUACCAGCACAACAACAGGAGCACCAGCAGACGACCAAGCUACUACCACCUCCAUCCAAGCGCUAG